RNAcentral lists this ribosomal RNA (490 nucleotides) under uncultured bacterium. Its description in RNAcentral is "bacterial SSU rRNA". It matches the Rfam family "Bacterial small subunit ribosomal RNA", at positions 501 to 992 of the family's 1533-position model. The record is from RNAcentral.
CUACGUGCCAGCAGCCGCGGUAAUACGGGGGGUGCGAGCGUUAAUCGGAAUAACUGGGCGUAAAGGGCACGCAGGCGGUGACUUAAGUGAGAUGUGAAAGCCCCGGGCUUAACCUGGGAAUUGCAUUUCAUACUGGGUCGCUAGAGUACUUUAGGGAGGGGUAGAAUUCCACGUGUAGCGGUGAAAUGCGUAGAGAUGUGGAGGAAUACCGAAGGCGAAGGCAGCCCCUUGGGAAUGUACUGACGCUCAUGUGCGAAAGCGUGGGGAGCAAACAGGAUUAGAUACCCUGGUAGUCCACGCUGUAAACGAUGUCGAUUUGGGGGUUGAACUUUAGGUUUGGCGCCCGUAGCUAACGUGAUAAAUCGACCGCCUGGGGAGUACGGCCGCAAGGUUAAAACUCAAAUGAAUUGACGGGGGCCCGCACAAGCGGUGGAGCAUGUGGUUUAAUUCGAUGCAACGCGAAGAACCUUACCUACUCUUGACAUCCAGA